AUGGGGAAGUCCAAACCAGCACCAGGUGUGCUUCAUGGGCGAUUCCAGAGCAGAAAGUUCCCAGCUGCGAACAGCCAGCCAGGAUCCAGGACCAGACACAGCACCCACGACACCCUAGCUCAAGUCAGUGCUAACAGAGCACGCUCUGUGGUGCACUGUUUAGGCCUGCCCAGUGGCCGAUACUAUUUUUUGUAAUAGCCAGUGUUCACGCAUGAAAAAUACUGGAAAAAAGCUGCUUUUCUGUUGACUUUUAACAGGAAAUUUCUAAUUCCAAAAUGCUGCAUGUUGUUUUGAAAAUCCGUCCAUUUAGAGUGAGAGAAAACAUUCAAAUAUAGUUGUUUGAGGAGAAUAGCAUGGAAGCAAGUGCACAUCCCCAACACACUCUCUCUCUGGCUCAUGUUAGAUGCUCUCUCCUCUUCUGCGUUAUCAACAUCAAAUUCACCAAACGUUAAGAACAUCUAAAGGGAAGAUGUUCUUCUGCAAUGAAGCAGACUUAUAUCUCCAGCACUCCACUUCUAUCAAACUAUUACUGUCUUCAAGUCUUCACACAGUGUAGAUCAGACUAGACUGAAGAACCCUCCAGACCAGUCUAUUGUAAAAAUGAUACUGAUUUUCCUUUAAUGUCUGUAGCUCAGACAGUGUUUGUGGAUAACCUCCAGUGAAGUACUCAUUAUUUCUGUCUUGAGAAGUUUGAAUUGCACUGUAUUGGAGCAUCUCUGAAAGCCGUCUUCCCCCUUUUCUCCAAAUCUUCAGCCACACUCGUAGCUAAUGCCAAAGCAUUAAGCCCAAG
RNAcentral lists this long non-coding RNA (790 nucleotides) under Struthio camelus australis. RNAcentral describes it as "lncRNA (ENSSCUG00000009321.1)". The record is from RNAcentral. Lineage: Eukaryota; Metazoa; Chordata; Aves; Struthioniformes; Struthionidae.